Molecule: long non-coding RNA, 466 nt
Filed under: Phoenix dactylifera (date palm)
Lineage: Eukaryota; Viridiplantae; Streptophyta; Magnoliopsida; Arecales; Arecaceae
Description: long non-coding RNA (PDAC_LNC012334)
Source: RNAcentral
UUGUCUCGGCUGGACACAGUGGUCAAGUUGCAUCGGGGGGCUGGACCUCUCUAUAGACAUGAGAUGUUGUAGGAUAAAGGUGGGGUUGGGCACCAAUAACUGUUAGAUGAGGACCCAAUGACGACUUUAUUCCUACGGUUAUACGGUGGGUCUGACUUAACUAAGCGAUGAGACCAAUAACUGUUAGGUGAGGUUUUCAUGGCUUAGAGACCAAGUUACACUGCACCAUGCUUGAGAAGCAUUGCACAAGAGUUGUACACUCAUCCAUCUAUGUGUCACCAAUAACUGUUAGGUGAGGUGGCAUGUAAAUCGGUGGGACCGCAGUACCCACUAGAAACCCUAGUCGUGUGGGAUUUCCGUUUUCCUACCAGGGGAGUGUGAGGGAUUCGAGAAAAUAGUGGGAGUUACAUUUGUUCUAAAAGACCUUAGAACAGAUUAGGAUCAAGUACAAAAGUCUAACUAGAAU